AACGAACGCUGGCGGCAUGCCUAACACAUGCAAGUCGAACGAGACCUUCGGGUCUAGUGGCGCACGGGUGCGUAACGCGUGGGAAUCUGCCCUUCGGUUCGGAAUAACUCAGGGAAACUUGAGCUAAUACCGGAUAAUGACGUAAGUCCAAAGAUUUAUCGCCGAAGGAUGAGCCCGCGUAGGAUUAGCUUGUUGGUGGGGUAAUGGCCCACCAAGGCGACGAUCCUUAGCUGGUCUGAGAGGAUGAUCAGCCACACUGGGACUGAGACACGGCCCAGACUCCUACGGGAGGCAGCAGUGGGGAAUAUUGGACAAUGGGCGAAAGCCUGAUCCAGCAAUGCCGCGUGAGUGAUGAAGGCCUUAGGGUUGUAAAGCACUUUCUGUAGAGAUGAGCAAGGACAGUAUCUCAGGAAUAAGUCUCGGCUAACUACGUGCCAGCAGCCGCGGUAAUGUAGUCGU
Molecule: ribosomal RNA, 459 nt
Filed under: uncultured bacterium
Lineage: Bacteria
Description: bacterial SSU rRNA
Rfam family: Bacterial small subunit ribosomal RNA
Source: RNAcentral